RNAcentral lists this ribosomal RNA (497 nucleotides) under uncultured bacterium. RNAcentral's name for it is "partial 16S ribosomal RNA". It matches the Rfam family "Bacterial small subunit ribosomal RNA", at positions 28 to 507 of the family's 1533-position model. The record is from RNAcentral.
GAUGAACGCUGGCGGCGUGCCUAAUGCAUGCAAGUCGAGCGAACGGACGAGAAGCUUGCUUCUCUGAUGUUAGCGGCGGACGGGUGAGUAACACGUGGAUAACCUACCUAUAAGACUGGGAUAACUUCGGGAAACCGGAGCUAAUACCGGAUGAUAUUUUGAACCGCAUGGUUCAAAAGUGAAAGACGGUCUUGCUGUCACUUAUAGAUGGAUCCGCGCUGCAUUAGCUAGUUGGUAAGGUAACGGCUUACCAAGGCAACGAUGCAUAGCCGACCUGAGAGGGUGAUCGGCCACACUGGAACGGAGACACGGUCCAGACUCCUACGGGAGGCAGCAGUAGGGAAUCUUCCGCAAUGGGCGAAAGCCUGACGGAGCAACGCCGCGUGAGUGAUGAAGGUCUUCGGAUCGUAAAACUCUGUUAUUAGGGAAGAACAUAUGUGUAAGUAACUGUGCACAUCUUGACGGUACCUAAUCAGAAAGCCACGGCUAACUACGUG